CCCUUAGAUGUCCUGGGCCGCACGCGCGCUACACUGAGUGUCUGAGAUACGAGUCUGCCUGGUCCGGCAAGGUCUAGGUAAUCGCUAAAAGACACAUCAUGCUUGGGAUAGAUUAUUGCAAAUAUUAAUCUUGAACGAGGAAUUCCUAGUAAGCGCAAGUCAACAGCUUGCGUUGAUUACGUCCCUGCCCUUUGUACACACCGCCCGUCGCUACAACUGAUUGGAUGUUUAAGCGAGGUUCUCGAACUGCUAGCGACUUAGCUUCGGUGAGGUCGCAGUGUGGGAAGUGAACCUAGCUUUGGUGUCUAGAGGAAGUAAAAGUCGUAACA
RNAcentral lists this ribosomal RNA (329 nucleotides) under uncultured eukaryote. RNAcentral describes it as "partial 18S ribosomal RNA". It matches the Rfam family "Eukaryotic small subunit ribosomal RNA", at positions 1470 to 1796 of the family's 1831-position model. The record is from RNAcentral.